This 1161-nucleotide long non-coding RNA is filed under the name Canis lupus familiaris (dog). RNAcentral's name for it is "lncRNA (ENSCAFG00040018968.1)". The record is from RNAcentral. Lineage: Eukaryota; Metazoa; Chordata; Mammalia; Carnivora; Canidae.
AUGUGCGUGCUGCACCAGCUCCCCGUGCGGCGUGCAGGUGUGCCCACCUCUGCUGCCCCUGAGGGCCCUCUGUGCCUCGGCUGGGCACUGAGCUCUGGGUGGGACACGGCCCCAACCGUGCCUCGCCCCCCCACAGGGCAAACCCGAAAGGGCCGGGGCCCCGGGCACACAUCCAGGAGCCCAGGCUGGCUCUCGGCCAGGGGCCUGCCCCGUCUGCCCGGUGUGGCCAGGCCGCCCGGCCCAGGGUGGUGCUCAGGGCCCAGAUGCUGGCGGGGAUGUGGGGGACCAAGGCCCUCCUCCGGGUGCAGGGCAGUGGGUGGCCAGUGGACAGGUUGGAUAAGCGUCUCAGAAAGCAAACGAUGCCGCGGAAGUAGGACAGAGCCAUGGUGGGGAGGGCGUCGGAGUGCGGUGUUCCGGGCAGGCAAGGUGAGGCAUUCUGGAAAGGCGGGCAGGUGGGGGGCAGGAGCCUGUGCAGGUAAAACGGGGGGACGAGUGGGGCUGGCUGAGGGCAGAAGGCCACGGGGACUGGCGGGAGGUGGCACCCGGGCAGGGAGCGCCGUGUUCUGGAAGGCUCCUGAGGCAGAACUAAGGCUUCCUAAGCGGCCGAAGGGGCUGAGGAGGGUCCAGGCGGGCAGGACGGCGUUGGCCCUGGCUUGGGAAGGUCACUCGCCCUCCGUGGGCGACAGGGCUGCACAGGGCAGGAGGGUCCCACGGGGCGUGCGGGGGAUGGGGACCUGGGCCCGACCUGCUGCUCCCGGGCCCGGCGCAGGCCGCCCUCCUGGUCUCUCCUGGAACACGGCCUGGGGCAGAGCCGGGGGUAAGGGGCUCCCGGCGCCGGCCCCCCCACCCGGCCUGCCCGCUGUGAGCAGGGGAACCGAGGCUUCAGGAGCCGGGGCGGGCACCUGGGGGCGCAGAGCCUGCGGCGGACAGGCCGGCCAGUGGCUGCAAGGGGCACCCCGCGCCCCUCAGCUCGCGUUCAGGGUGGGAGCCGGGGCCCAGCAGCCCCAGGGACUGCGCCCUUUGCACGCCCCGUGCGAUCACUCCCGCGUGGCCUCGACGCCCGCCUGUGAGCAAACUUGGGGGCGGGUUCACCCCAAGAAGUGGGGUCCGGCCGGCGGCCCCAAGGUUCGCAGCUGCGGCCCCUGCGGCCCAGGUGGGUGA